AUAAGAGAAUGUGUGCAGACAAAGGACGAGGAUGUGCGCCACUAUUUCGCCAGAUUAAGACAAGUAUUCAAGGCAAAUAGCGGGAUAGUGGCGCCCGUCCAGUGGGUGGAUGACGGACCAUUCGCCCAACAACUAAAAAUAGAAUUAUUAAACGGCAUGCGGCCAGAAAUAAGCUUGUACAUUAAGAAGCACAUGGUGGGUUACAGAACCGGAGGGUUAAGGCAAUUUAAGGACUGGGCACGAAAUAUGAGUCAGAUACAGACCAC
Molecule: long non-coding RNA, 266 nt
Organism: Amblyraja radiata (thorny skate)
Lineage: Eukaryota; Metazoa; Chordata; Chondrichthyes; Rajiformes; Rajidae
Exons: 4
Source: RefSeq, a predicted model, not a curated record